Molecule: ribosomal RNA, 739 nt
Filed under: uncultured Providencia sp.
Lineage: Bacteria; Pseudomonadati; Pseudomonadota; Gammaproteobacteria; Enterobacterales; Morganellaceae
Description: bacterial SSU rRNA
Rfam family: Bacterial small subunit ribosomal RNA
Source: RNAcentral
GUGGGAGCAAACAGGAUUAGAUACCUGGUAGUCACGCUGUAAACGAUGUCGAUUUGGAGGUUGUUCCCUUGAGGAGUGGCUUCCGGAGCUAACGCGUUAAAUCGACCGCCUGGGGAGUACGGCCGCAAGGUUAAAACUCAAAUGAAUUGACGGGGGCCCGCACAAGCGGUGGAGCAUGUGGUUUAAUUCGAUGCAACGCGAAGAACCUUACCUACUCUUGACAUCCAGAGAAUUUAGCAGAGAUGCUUUAGUGCCUUCGGGAACUCUGAGACAGGUGCUGCAUGGCUGUCGUCAGCUCGUGUUGUGAAAUGUUGGGUUAAGUCCCGCAACGAGCGCAACCCUUAUCCUUUGUUGCCAGCACAUUAUGGUGGGAACUCAAAGGAGACUGCCGGUGAUAAACCGGAGGAAGGUGGGGAUGACGUCAAGUCAUCAUGGCCCUUACGAGUAGGGCUACACACGUGCUACAAUGGCGUAUACAAAGAGAAGCGACCUCGCGAGAGCAAGCGGAACUCAUAAAGUACGUCGUAGUCCGGAUUGGAGUCUGCAACUCGACUCCAUGAAGUCGGAAUCGCUAGUAAUCGUAGAUCAGAAUGCUACGGUGAAUACGUUCCCGGGCCUUGUACACACCGCCCGUCACACCAUGGGAGUGGGUUGCAAAAGAAGUAGGUAGCUUAACCUUCGGGAGGGCGCUUACCACUUUGUGAUUCAUGACUGGGGUGAAGUCGUAACAAGGUAACCA